GAAAAUCCGUCGACGGGUUCAA
This 22-nucleotide transfer RNA is filed under the name Alchemilla pinnata. RNAcentral's name for it is "partial tRNA-Leu". Lineage: Eukaryota; Viridiplantae; Streptophyta; Magnoliopsida; Rosales; Rosaceae. The record is from RNAcentral.